Molecule: unclassified non-coding RNA, 159 nt
Filed under: Preussia sp. Wb6-ITS3
Lineage: Eukaryota; Fungi; Ascomycota; Dothideomycetes; Pleosporales; Sporormiaceae
Description: sequence contains 18S rRNA gene, ITS1 and 5.8S rRNA gene
Rfam family: 5.8S ribosomal RNA (bases 115-159)
Source: RNAcentral
CCUUGCCUUUUUGAGUACCAUUUUCGUUUCCUCGGCGGGCUCGCCCGCCAAUGGGGACCACCCACAAACGCUUUGUAGUACCUGUAAACGUCUGAGAAACAAACAAAAAUUUAAAACUUUCAACAACGGAUCUCUUGGUUCUGGCAUCGAUGAAGAACG